ACUGGUGUUCGGGUUGUCAUGCCAAUGGCACUGCCCGGUAGCUAAAUGCGGAAGAGAUAAGUGCUGAAAGCAUCUAAGCACGAAACUUGCCCCGAGAUGAGUUCUCCCUGAGACUUUAAGUCUCCUGAAGGAACGUUGAAGACGACGACGUUGAUAGGCCGGGUGUGUAAGCGCAGCGAUGCGUUGAGCUAACCGGUACUAAUGAACCGUGAGGCUUAACCUUAC
Molecule: ribosomal RNA, 225 nt
Filed under: Klebsiella pneumoniae subsp. pneumoniae KPNIH6
Lineage: Bacteria; Pseudomonadati; Pseudomonadota; Gammaproteobacteria; Enterobacterales; Enterobacteriaceae
Description: partial 23S ribosomal RNA
Rfam family: Bacterial large subunit ribosomal RNA
Source: RNAcentral